Molecule: non-coding RNA, 83 nt
Organism: Crucibulum laeve
Lineage: Eukaryota; Fungi; Basidiomycota; Agaricomycetes; Agaricales; Nidulariaceae
Source: the annotation of a GenBank genome assembly
GUCUCGAUAGCUCAGUGGUAGAGCAUGCGAUUGCAGUGUGAGCUGACAUCGCACGGUCAGGUGUUCGAUCCACCUUCGGGACU